CGCGUGCACUGGUUCGGCCGGGCCUUCACCUUCUGCGGAACCGCAUCUCCUUCACUGGGGGUGUCGGGGAAACAGGACGUUUACUGUGAAAAAAUUAGAGUGCUCCAGGCAGGCCUAUGCUCGAAUAGAUUAGCAUGGAAUAAUGGAAUAGGACGUGUGGUCUUAUUUCGUUGGUUUCUAGGACCGCCGUAAUGAUUAAUAGGGACAGUCGGGGGCAUCAGUAUUCAAUCGUCAGAGGUGAAAUUCUUGGAUCGAUUGAAGACUAACUACUGCGAAAGCAUUUGCCAAGGAUGUUUUCAUUUAUCAGGAACGAAAGUUAGGGGAUCGAAGACGAUCAGAUACCGUCGUAGUCUUAACCAUAAACUAUGCCGACUAGGGAUCGGACGGUGUUAUUUCUUGACCCGUUCGGCACCUUACGAGAAAUCAAAGUGCUUGGGCUCCAGGGGGAGUAUGGUCGCAAGGCUGAAACUUAAAGAAAUUGACGGAAGGGCACCACCAGGGGUGGAGCCUGCGGCUUAAUUUGACUCAACACGGGGAAACUCACCAGGUCCAGACACAACGAGGAUUGACAGAUUGAGAGCUCUUUCUUGAUUUUGUGGGUGGUGGUGCAUGGCCGUUCUUAGUUGGUGGAGUGAUUUGUCUGCUUAAUUGCGAUAACGAACGAGACCUUAACCUGCUAACUAGUCCGUAUUACCCCGGUAGUACGCCGACUUCUUAGAGGGACUAUCGG
This 730-nucleotide ribosomal RNA is filed under the name uncultured eukaryote. Its description in RNAcentral is "SSU rRNA". It matches the Rfam family "Eukaryotic small subunit ribosomal RNA", at positions 672 to 1426 of the family's 1831-position model. The record is from RNAcentral.